UGGUGAAGUGAUUUGUCUGGUUAAUUCCGAUAACGAACGAGAUCUCUGUGAUGGUGGUUUGUCCUGAUCAGACUGCCGGCUCCCUCACUUCAAGCCGGUGGAAGUUGGAGGCAAUAACA
This 119-nucleotide ribosomal RNA is filed under the name uncultured eukaryote. Its description in RNAcentral is "partial 18S ribosomal RNA". It matches the Rfam family "Eukaryotic small subunit ribosomal RNA", at positions 1299 to 1458 of the family's 1831-position model. The record is from RNAcentral.